AUUUAUAUAGUUUAAUUAAAACUUUAUAUUUUCAUUAUAAAAAUAAUAAAUUUAUUUAUAAAUA
This 64-nucleotide transfer RNA is filed under the name Pambolus sp. QL-2013. RNAcentral describes it as "tRNA-Glu". Lineage: Eukaryota; Metazoa; Arthropoda; Insecta; Hymenoptera; Braconidae. The record is from RNAcentral.